Molecule: ribosomal RNA, 497 nt
Filed under: uncultured bacterium
Lineage: Bacteria
Description: partial 16S ribosomal RNA
Rfam family: Bacterial small subunit ribosomal RNA
Source: RNAcentral
GAUGAACGCUGGCGGCGUGCCUAAUACAUGCAAGUCGAGCGAACAGACCAGGAGCUUGCUCCUCUGACGUUAUCGGCGGACGGGUGAGUAACACGUGGAUAACCUACCUCUACGACUGGGGUAACUUCGGGAAACCGGAGCUAAUACCGGAUAACAUGUUGAACCGCAUGGUUCAACAGUUAAAGACGGUCUUGCUGUCACUUAUAGAUUGAUCCGCGCCGCAUUAGCUAGUUGGUGAGGUAACGGCUUACCCAGGCUACGAUGCGUAACCGACCUGAGGGGGUGAACGGCCACACGGGAACUGAGACAGGGUCGAGACACUGACGGGGGGAAGCAGUAGGGAAUCUUACGCGAGGGGGGAAAGGGGGAUGGAGGAACGCGGCGGGAGGGAAGAAGGUGUUCGGAUGGGAGAGUUAUGUUAGUAGGAGAGAAGUAAUGCGUAAGUAACUGUGCACGUAUUGACGGUACCUGGAGAAAAAGCCACGGCUAACUACGUG